This 69-nucleotide transfer RNA is filed under the name Drawida ghilarovi. RNAcentral describes it as "tRNA-Gln". It matches the Rfam family "tRNA". Rfam says of the family: Transfer RNA (tRNA) molecules are approximately 80 nucleotides in length. Their secondary structure includes four short double-helical elements and three loops (D, anti-codon, and T loops). Further hydrogen bonds mediate the characteristic L-shaped molecular structure. tRNAs have two regions of fundamental functional importance: the anti-codon, which is responsible for specific mRNA codon recognition, and the 3' end, to which the tRNAs corresponding amino acid is attached (by aminoacyl-tRNA synthetases). tRNAs cope with the degeneracy of the genetic code in two manners: having more than one tRNA (with a specific anti-codon) for a particular amino acid; and 'wobble' base-pairing, i.e. permitting non-standard base-pairing at the 3rd anti-codon position. The record is from RNAcentral. Lineage: Eukaryota; Metazoa; Annelida; Clitellata; Moniligastrida; Moniligastridae.
UAUAGAAUAGUGUAUAGUGCACAUAGGCUUUUGACACCUAAAGAUUUAGUUCAAUUCUUUUUUCUAUAG